Molecule: long non-coding RNA, 741 nt
Filed under: Phoenix dactylifera (date palm)
Lineage: Eukaryota; Viridiplantae; Streptophyta; Magnoliopsida; Arecales; Arecaceae
Description: long non-coding RNA (PDAC_LNC003096)
Source: RNAcentral
CUUGGAGAUCUGUGCAAGUAGAUGGGUGAUAUAGGAUAACUUUGAGAUCUGUGCAAGCAGAUGGGUGAUAUAGGAUAAAGUGCUUUGAAAUUUAUAUAGGUAGAUGGAUGAUAGAUGAUCGAGAGCUUUGAGAUCUGUGUUGGUGGGUAGAUGACAAAGGAUAGAGCACUUUGAGAUCUAUGUGGCCAGAUGGAUGAUAGCAUACAUAGUGCUUUGAGAUCUCUACAAAUAGAUAGAUGACAAAGUAUAGAACGCUUUAAGAUUUAUGCAGGCGGAUGAAUGACAUAGGAUGGAGUACUUUAGAAUAUAUGCAAGUGACUGGAUGGUAAAGAAUGAAUUGCUUUGAGAUUUAUGCAGAUGAAUAGAUCACAAGUGGAGCGCUUUGAGAUUUAUGUAAGUGGCUGAGUUAUAGAGAACAAAGUACUUUAAGAUCUGUACAGAUGGAUGGAUAAUAGAAGAUUGAGUGCUUUGAGAUCUAUGCAGGUGGAUGCAUAAUAGAGGAUGGAAUGCUUUAAGAUCUGUAUAAAUAGAUAAAUUAUAAAGGAUGAAGGGCUUGAGACCACGUAAAAGCCACGAUCCAGCCUCUUUGGAUCAAGAAUAUUUUGGUCCUUUUCAUCAGUCCGUUAACGAUGUUAUGAUCCAUGUUGAUUGUCGAGCCAGAUUGUAAUGAAAAUGAAGUUUUGGAAGCUAAUUGAAAUGUUUAAACUUUAGGAUAAUUUUUCUUUAAAACUAUUAAAAUGG